RNAcentral lists this ribosomal RNA (236 nucleotides) under uncultured Paraglomus. RNAcentral describes it as "partial 18S ribosomal RNA". The stretch from base 92 to 236 matches the Rfam family "Eukaryotic small subunit ribosomal RNA", at positions 738 to 884 of the family's 1831-position model. The record is from RNAcentral. Lineage: Eukaryota; Fungi; Glomeromycota; Glomeromycetes; Paraglomerales; Paraglomeraceae.
GACCUGGCUGGGUGGUCCGCUUAACGGCGUGUACUGCUUGGCUGGGCCUUACCUCUUGGUGAGCCGGCGUGCCCUUUAUUGGUGUGCGUCGGGGAACCAGGACUUUUACCUUGAGAAAAUUAGAGUGUUCAAAGCAGGCCUAUGCCUGAAUACAUUAGCAUGGAAUAAUAAAAUAGGACGUGCAGUUCUAUUUUGUUGGUUUCUAGGAUUGCCGUAAUGAUUAAUAGGGAUAGUUG